UCAUUUGUCUUUUUCUUUCUUUGUUAAUGCAAUGCAGUUCACUCUUCUUCGUCUCCUCCGAGAAUUUGUCACCAAAUUCUCAGCCACUUCGCAUAAUCAAAACUAGAGAAGGUGGGGGAAAUGAUGCAAGUGAGAAAGGAAGGAGUAUCCCCUCUUCCACAUGGCUGGCCCUUCACUACAGUGGCCUAUCAGCUCGUUGUCGUUUUCCAUCCUAUGAAGAGGCCACCUGUG
Cajanus cajan (pigeon pea) is the source of this 231-nucleotide long non-coding RNA. RefSeq lists it as uncharacterized. Lineage: Eukaryota; Viridiplantae; Streptophyta; Magnoliopsida; Fabales; Fabaceae. The record is from RefSeq and is a predicted model, not a curated record.